This is a long non-coding RNA of Rosa chinensis, 465 nucleotides long. RefSeq lists it as uncharacterized. The record is from RefSeq and is a predicted model, not a curated record. Lineage: Eukaryota; Viridiplantae; Streptophyta; Magnoliopsida; Rosales; Rosaceae. The transcript has 3 exons.
UCGAGUCUCUGCCCCAACAAAUUCAGCACUUAACUUGUUUAAAACAACUCUGGAUAAGUGAUUUUAAGGGACUAGAGGCUCUUCCUGAGUGGUUGGGAAAUCUUACAUCUCUUGAGUCUCUGAGAAUCUGGUUCUGUGAGAAUCUCAAGUAUCUGCCUACACAAAAUGCUAUGACAAGCCUCACCAAAUUAAAGAAGCUCCGCAGUGACGGAUGUCCCCUGCUCAAAGAAAGAUGCACCAAGGAGACUGGCCCAGAAUGGCCCAAGAUUUCUCACAUCCCAGAUCUUCAGUUUGGCAAUUGGUGAUAUGCAAUGCCUGCCUUACUGAACUAGAAUGUCUGUACACGUUACAAGGUUAAUCAAUUUCCACCUAAAGCAGGGCUCUAUCGUACCUGACGGCAAGAAUAGGUGAUGAUCACCUCUCCCAUGUAUGGCUUGUCUGCUGUGUUUCAUUGAAGAUAAGGUG